UACGGAGGGAGCUAGCGUUGUUCGGAAUUACUGGGCGUAAAGCGCACGUAGGCGGCUAUUCAAGUCAGAGGUGAAAGCCCGGGGCUCAACCCCGGAACUGCCUUUGAAACUAGGUAGCUAGAAUCUUGGAGAGGUCAGUGGAAUUCCGAGUGUAGAGGUGAAAUUCGUAGAUAUUCGGAAGAACGCCAGUGGCGAAGGCGACUGACUGGACAAGUAUUGACGCUGAGGUGCGAAAGCGUGGGGAGCAAACAGG
This 253-nucleotide ribosomal RNA is filed under the name uncultured bacterium. RNAcentral's name for it is "partial 16S ribosomal RNA". It matches the Rfam family "Bacterial small subunit ribosomal RNA", at positions 524 to 776 of the family's 1533-position model. The record is from RNAcentral.